UAGGGAAUUUUCCACAAUGGGCGAAAGCCUGAUGGAGCAACGCCGCGUGCAGGAUGAAGGCCUUCGGGUUGUAAACUGCUUUUAUGUAUGACGAUUAUGACGGUAGUACAUGAAUAAGGAUCGGCUAACUCCGUGCCAGCAGCCGCGGUCAUACGGAGGAUCCAAGCGUUAUCCGGAAUUACUGGGCGUAAAGAGUUGCGUAGGUGGCAGAGUAAGCAGAGUAUGAAAGCGUGUGGCUCAACCAUACAACCAUAUUUUGAACUGCUCAGCUAGAGGACGAGAGAGGUAACUGGAAUUUCUAGUGUAGGAGUGAAAUCCGUAGAUAUUAGAAGGAACACCGAUGGCGUAGGCAGGUUACUAGCUCGCUCCUGACACUCAGGCACGAAAGCGUGGGGAGCAAACGGGAUUAGAUACCCCCGUAGUCC
Molecule: ribosomal RNA, 425 nt
Filed under: uncultured bacterium
Lineage: Bacteria
Description: bacterial SSU rRNA
Rfam family: Bacterial small subunit ribosomal RNA
Source: RNAcentral